UGGGGGAUAUUGCACAAUGGGCGAAAGCCUGAUGCAGCGACGCCGCGUGGGGGAUGAAGGCCUUCGGGUUGUAAACUUCUUUUGCUCUGAACAAGGCAUGCUUUUGGGGUGUGUUGAGUGUAGGGGUUGAUUAGCGCCGGCUAACUACGUGCCAGCAGCCGCGGUAAUACGUAGGGCGCGAGCGUUGUCCGGAAUUAUUGGGCGUAAAGGGCUUGUAGGUGGCUGGUUGCGUCUGUCGUGAAAGCUCAUGGCUUAACUGUGGGUUUGCGGUGGGUACGGGCUGGCUUGAGUGCAGUAGGGGAGGCUGGAAUUCCUGGUGUAGCGGUGGAAUGCGCAGAUAUCAGGAGGAACACCGAUGGCGAAGGCAGGUCACUGGGCCGUUACUGACACUGAGGAGCGAAAGCGUGGGGAGCGAACAGG
Molecule: ribosomal RNA, 420 nt
Filed under: Fusobacteriota bacterium
Lineage: Bacteria; Fusobacteriati; Fusobacteriota
Description: Fusobacteria bacterium partial 16S ribosomal RNA
Rfam family: Bacterial small subunit ribosomal RNA
Source: RNAcentral